UGCGGUUAAAAAGCUCGUAGUUGGAUCUCGGCGGGCAGGGGGUGGUUCGCUCUUCAGCGCUACUGCCCCGCUUUGCCCGUGUGAUUGGCGGAGGUUUCGGGGUGCUCUUCGUUGAGUGACUCGGAGCGCCGUCAGGUUUACUUUGAAAAAAUCAGAGUGCUCAAAGCAGGCUUUUCACGCUUGAAUAUUCGUGCAUGGAAUAAUGGAAUAGGAACUCGUUUCUAUUUUGUUGGUUUUCGGAAAUCGAGUUAAUGAUUAACAGGGACAAUUGGGGGCAUUAGUAUUCAGACGACAGAGGUGAAAUUCUUGGACCGUCUGAAGACUGACUACUGCGAAAGCAUUUGCCAAGAGUGUUUUCAUUAGUCAAGAACGAAAGUUAGAGGUUCGAAGGCGAUCAGAUACCGCCCUAGUUCUAACCAUAAACGAUGCCAGCUAGCGAUCUGCCGAGUUUUUUUUGUAGGCUCCGCAGGAAGCUUUCGGGAAACCAAAGCUUUUGGGUUCCGGGGGAAGUAUGGUUGCAAAGCUGAAA
This 529-nucleotide ribosomal RNA is filed under the name uncultured marine eukaryote. RNAcentral describes it as "SSU rRNA". It matches the Rfam family "Eukaryotic small subunit ribosomal RNA", at positions 614 to 1142 of the family's 1831-position model. The record is from RNAcentral.